UGGGGAAUCUUGCGCAAUGGACGAAAGUCUGACGCAGCCACGCCGCGUGAGUGAAGAAGGCCUUCGGGUUGUAAAGCUCUGUCGCCCGGGACGAACAUCCUUAUCGUUAAUAGCGGUAAGGACUGACGGUACCGGGAAAGGAAGCACCGGCUAACUCUGUGCCAGCAGCCGCGGUAAUACAGAGGGUGCAAGCGUUGCUCGGAAUCAUUGGGCGUAAAGGGCAGGUAGGUGGUCUCAUUUGUCUGGGGUGAAAGCCUUGGGCUUAACCCAAGAAGUGCCUCGGAAACGGUGAGACUUGAGUACUGGAGAGGGUCGUGGAAUUCCCGGUGUAGCGGUGAAAUGCGUAGAGAUCGGGAGGAACACCAGCGGCGAAGGCGGCGACCUGGACAGUUACUGACACUCAACUGCGAAAGCGUGGGGAGCAAACAGGAUUAGAUACCCAUGUAGUCCCUGAGCGGGCUGGCAAGGCGCAU
This 473-nucleotide ribosomal RNA is filed under the name uncultured bacterium. RNAcentral describes it as "bacterial SSU rRNA". It matches the Rfam family "Bacterial small subunit ribosomal RNA", at positions 355 to 825 of the family's 1533-position model. The record is from RNAcentral.